UUUUUUUUUUUUGCGGUUAUAUCUCAAUGACCUGACGGAGCCAACAAGGAAUUGUGGCAUGCAUUGAGUCAUUGUUUGUCUAAAAUGUUGCAGUAUUUUGCACCUCUUUUACAGACAACGGAAAAACACUGCAGUGAUGUUCUAUGUGAGCUGAAAAAAAUGUUACUUGGAGGUGGGGAUUCCAUUUUACAAUGUUAGAUCAUUUUUUACACGGUGGUUAAAUCACCUUAGCACUGACACCUAUUUUCUUUUGUUGCGGGUAAACUCACCUGACUGACACCUGUCAUAGCGCUGUUUUUACGGCUGCAGUGCCAUCUGAAUAUUUCCUUUGAGCCUGGGGAGCACCAAAAAUCCACCCGCUGAUUCAAGGAUCGAGCAGUAGUAAUUUGCUUGUAAUAACAAUACAGAAAAAGAGAAGGAUUCAUGCUGCCCGAGAGGGGCGGUGACGGGUCGACAACGCAUUGCAUGCAGGUUGAGGCAUCAGAUCAAGCGUGAGGGGCCGAGAGAGCUACAGGAGCUGGCCGUAGCCAUACCUCUUUACUGAAAGUGGCGCCGUCGUGUCGCCGUUUGCGUCAGUUCACUUCACUAAAAGUGGAUCCUGAUUCCUGAUUUGAACGCGGAUGUGAGCUAGCGAGGAGGCCGGUUUCUUCUUCUUCUUCGUUGCACGACGAAAUUCAGAUUAUUGUCCAUCUCUUGUAAACCCAUAUCGUAAGAGUAAGAUGGCCUCAGUUUAGAGCAUGAGGUCCUUGUGUAGGCAAAGCAAGCCAUGCAUGUGUAAACGUGAAACUGAAAUUCUUACACUUGUACAAAGAUGACAAUUUCAGACAAGAAAUUAAGCGGACAAUCUCAUCAUUUUUGCACACGAGGGGGCACAUAGUCAGGCGGUUUAUUCUCUAUAGAGUUACUCUGCUGCUACUAGCAUCAGAAGGCACUGAUCCAGGAUUCAGAACAUACGAACCGAAAGCUUCAAACAACUACUGGAAAAAGUAAACAACUCCAUUCUCCUCAUCGUUGUGCCAUGCAUGCCGGUGAUGAGCACGCCAACGCCGUACGGCUGAUACACUUGAUCGCCCGCACCGAUCACUCCACGAAGGAGCCGUCCAGCUUGCGGACCUGCACCUUGAGCUCGUGGUCCUCGCCGUCGCUCCCGCGGAGCGCGCGGAAGAAGCAGGUGUCGCCGACGGUGAGGCGGUUGUCCACCAGGAACUGGUGCCACCCGUACUGGCAUCGUCGUCGCGCUGGUAGUGCCUGCGGCACAUGCUCAUGUCGAACACCUUGACGGUGAGCACGGCGUCGCCGUCGAAGCUGAACACGAGGAAGUAGCCGAGCCGCAGGUCGUGCGCGCGGGCGAACUGCUCCCAGCCGCGCCCUAGGUACAUGUGGCCGUCGGCGUCCAGCACCACCUUCACGUCCCACAGGCUGCGGCGCCCGCUGCCGGCCUCCCGCAGCUUCACUUCCCGGGGCUCACGUCCGGCGAGCACCUUGGCGAACUUGUCUGGCAUCCUCUGCGACGUGGCGUGGGUCAAGCAGCAGUUGGAAUUGAACAAGUGUUGAACCAACCAAACCAAAGUACCAAACCCAGAGCCCAAUGACCAAGCAUCACGGUGUAGAACCCAGAAACGUACGUACCAGUUUCUUCAAGGACUUGGAGAGCAUGAUGAUGAAGAACUCGAAACCUGACGAGUCAAUGGGAAAGGCCUUCUCCUCUUCCAUCGUAGUCGUAGCAAAACCCUCUGCUUCUUCUUCUUCCUCCUCCUCCUUGCCUCUGCCCUCUCCUCUCAAUAGUGUGAAGCAAUCAUAUAGGGAAGGAAAAGCAGCGAUGUAACAACAGAUUCCUCCUGCUUUAUUCACGUGUGUAGAAAGACGGCAGCAAUACGGCUUGUUGGGGCUACUUCAGGAACAUCUCCAGCCAUUACGUGUCGAGCUCCAGUGGUGGGCUGCCUAUGUAUUGUGAGCUCCUAAUUAACUGGCCUAGCAACAAGGGCAUAAUCAAACAUCAGAGGCGGUACCAAACACCUUUCAACCCCACCAUAUACAGGAAAUGAAAUAACGUAUUUGUAUAAUCAUCCGCAAUACAGGCAGUCACAUGGCGGGACAUACCCGAAUAAGAAACCAACAGAUUUUAAACUGAAAAUAAACUCAGCAAUCUCAUGUGCAAUCAGGCCUACUGUCUCAUUGCCCAUAUAGGGAAUACUAUACCAGAACUUCAAAGGCCAGCGAUAGGAAGACAAAUGUUUCUUUACCAUCAUAGGAUUGCAGACAAAUCUUGCUGCCACCGAAAGUGCUCGGCCAAUAGAAAUAAGAUGGUGUAGGCUUAGACAGGAGAGUACAUAAUAUGCUGAUAGUCAAUGACUGUAGAUCCACAUGAAAGAGACAGUCUACUCAUUUUUGUAUGUUUUGUAUUUAUUGACUUCUUUACCGAAUCAGAUUGUGGGGAGACUGAUAUAUACAAAGAUUACAAUUACUUCCGACUAAUGAGGAAAAAAUAAGUUCACUCGCAAAACUAGCGUAAAUCAAUGCCUUCAUCCAGGGCUGUGGAGCCCAUCAUCACAUUUGAAUCAAUCUGCUUGUCAAACUUCUUCCUUCUGCGUGCUUCAAACUCCCCGAAUCCAUCCAUCUGCAACAGAUGAGAAAGGGAAUUAGGAUUAAAAUUAAAAUUAAAAUUAAAAUAGUGUUGAUUCAGUUGCAGGAAUCUGUAGCGUCCUCAUGUCACUAACUUGCUGAAACUGGUCCAUCGAGAUUGGGUUGCUGUGCAGUGACAAGUUCUGAAGAGCCUUGCAAUCCUUCAGCAAGUUUGGGGGAAGCUGCAGCCAAAAAAGGAGUUUGAGGAUGGAUCAUGGAUGGCUCCUUAAUUGCUUCUUCUUUCAUAAUGGCAUGGACAAUAUGUACAUAAAGUGCACAAGAUAGUCAAAGAUGCCAAAUAAAUUCACUGGCACAUACCUGACGAAUUUUGUUUCCAUUCAAUGAUACAGAUUUGAGGCAAGCAAGGUUGCAAAUUGAUGAGGGCACAUCUUCGAUUGUAUUUCCUGAAUAUUAUUUAGCAUGAAGGUUAGCCAGAGGUAGCUUUGCUCAACACAUAAAGCCGAACAGCAUUAUCCUAAGAGGCAGUGAUUUGACAACCGUAAAUUAUUUGCAGACUAGCAAAUGGUAAUCACUACUUAAUCGACAUUUAAACUUCUGGAUAUUUGUAGACGCUAAGGCAAGAUAACAUUCAUAGCAAAGUAAUCAUUACUAGAUCGACAUUUAACGUCCUGAACAUUUGUAGGCAAGAAGGCAAGAUAACAUUCACAGCAUGGUAAUCAUUAGUAAAUCAACAUUUACAUUUCUAGACAUCUCAUUUAUAUAAAUGGUACAAGUUCUUAAUUUUAUGAAAGAAAAGUUCAUCAAAAACAUACAUCCAUUAACAUGAAAAUAAUGAUAGUAAGCAAAUCUUAAGUUGAUUAACCGGUUCCUUCAUUCAUCCAGAGCACAGCUAGUUGAGCUGAUCCAUACCACUUUCAGGCUCUGAGAAGGUAAUAUCAAUGAUCUCUGCGCCAAAUGUCAAGGUAAUGUCGAUGAUCACUGUGCCAAAUGUUGAUUUAGUAUUGAUUUCUCUGCUGUGAUUGGUGCCUUGCCUUCUCCAGUUCUAUAUUUUUCUUCUUUGUAUAUAUUGCGAAGUGUUGAAAUUACUAGGUACAGAUGUACUUUGUUGAUUUUGUAUGGACAAUUAUCGAAAUUGUAUCACCUUUAUGUUUCUUAUAUCCCGUAUUGACAAAUUAUGGAAGCUCUACCAUUUCCAUGUUUCUUGUGCUAUUUAUUAGUCGGAACGUACCUUGCCUGGCCAGUGGCCACGAUUACUAGUGCAAGCAAAAAAGCGGAGAACAGGAAACUCAAAUUAUAUAGGACUAGUAGUAUUACAGAAACAAGCGGGUUUUACCAUUAGCCUGCAAUUCUUCCAGGGACUUGCAGCCUCCUAUUGAUUCGGGAAGGGCAUUUAGUUUGUUAUCAGAUACAUUGAGUAGCAGCAUCUGCAUCAGUCAAACACAAAAUGAUGGUAAGCUAUUGACAACAACACGACAUAGAUCCACAAUACCAAAAAAGGAUAACACUAGGGCAUUGACCAUUACAAAAAAAAUACGCUUUUGAAUAUUUAAUGGUGAUACAAAAUGAUGAAAUGCACACUGAAUCAAUUUCAUAAAUUAACUUAUUUUGACAAAACAGAAAACAAAGAAUACUCCUGUUGUGAAACAAAAAUCAAUACUGACUGCAUCUUUAUGAUUUUCGGAAAUGAGACAUGCUUGAAAACAAGUCUUUUGCGGAGAUAGGCUAAGUUUGGCAUAUUGAACCAAAUAAAAAACUUACAUUGCACAAAUCCCCAACACUUUUAGGUAGGCACAGUAAAGAAUUCUGAGAAACUGUAAGCUGCUGAAGAUUUGAUAGAGAACCCACUGAAUGGGAAAAAAAGAUCAUGUGAGAAAACGGAAACAAAAGUUAGUAGAAUAAUGGUAUGAAAGUCAUAACUCUGUACUAACUCCUUGUUAGGGCAAGGUUUUAGACUAGAGCCUAGGCCACCUUUGUUAUGUACUAAUAAAAUAAUAAACCUAGGUAAUACUUUGCUUGUUUCACUUCAAUUCUUACAAAUAAUAUAGAUAAGAUGUAUGAACUAACAUUCUUCAGGCAAGACAGUGAUCCUAUUUCUGUCAAGCGUGAGGAUUUUAAGGUUCCGCAGGUAUCCAAUAUUAGCUGGAAUGUUUUCAAUCAAAUUACCAGCCAAAACCUACAGGAACAAGAGAAAACAUCACUAUCAAGCCGCCAUUACUGAGAAUAAACAAAUGGAAGAAUCGUUGCUUGCAAAUACACAUCUCUAAAAAAAUCCAGGACGGUUUUUACUAAGAAUGCUUACCAGCCUUUGCAUAUUCACAAUGGUACCAACUUCCUGGGGAACCUCAACUGCAAAAUAAAAAGAACGAAUUGUCGUUGCUCAAGAAAAUACAAUUACAAACAUCAAAGAUGUGAAAACAGCUUAUGCAGUUUCAGGCAAGACAGCUUAUUCAGAACAAGGAAUUCAGCCCAAGUAAGAUGCUAAAAUAAUCUUGCCCAGCACGGGUUUUGGAUAAGUUGUAUCCACAAACUGGUAGAAAAAGAAAUGCAAGAAAAUAAAGGGUCCAAUUGUAGCAAGUUGGCUUGAAAUAAAGCAAUUGCUCACAUUGUGAAGUGAAAAAUAAAUGUGCAUAUAACUUCCAACCAGUUUCUUUCUGACUAAGUACAAGAAAGUGAGACAAUACCAAGCAUUAAUGUCUAUCACCCUGAAUGGAGAUAACUACUUGAAAUUUCUGAUUACCUAUCUUGUUAUUUGUCAAAUCCAGAGUUCUAAGGGAAUUUCCCACUUGCAGAACUUCAUGUGGUACCACCUGCAUGGAAUGAUAUUAAGCAACUCUGGAAGAGAAGUGCAAUGUUACAGUAAGAAGUGCAGAAAAGCACCCUUUUUCAUGUAGACAUAAUAAGUUCACUUAUAAGCUAAAUAUUUGAAAUAUGAGAACAAUCUAAUAGGAAAUAUUUAUACGAGGAAAAACAACUGAGUAAGCACCAUAUGGAUUUCAUUUAGUGAACCAGUACCGAUAUCAAGCCCUUGUGCUGCUGACCUGAGGAGCCAUGUGUUUUCUGGCUCCUUGCUGGAUUUCAGAAGGCCAUGGACAGCGGUACAGAAGGUAGCGCUCAACACAGACACCACCUUCUGUUGGAAGUUCACACUUCACGCACAUGCGGGUAUUGCUCAUCAUCUUAGGCAUACAGGAUUCAGUUCCUAGGCUUAAUGUGAAGCUGAGAUUUCGAAGGUCUGGGCAUCAACAGCAGAGUGGCGUCUUCAUGUGUGGUUAGAAAAUUGAAUACUGACAGCAGACCGCUGCUAGCAAGCCAAUAGCCCAGCACCUAUAUAUGCCCUCUAUGCAUCGAAAACUGUUCACCCACCUAUGUGCUAGAAACCAAUUCGUGUGGCAGUUAUGGGACAAGCUGCUGCUAUGACGGCUUCACUCCUUCAGGGAAAAUUACUUGGUAUACUGGAGGUUUGCCUCCCUAAUUGACGAGCUACAUUCAACUGGCAGUAAGCGCUCUCGGUCCUGUUAAUGCUUGUAGUUUGGGAAGCUUCGAGCAGAGAAGCAGGCGUAUGAUUCAGACAAAAGAAGCUUCCAUCAAUGCGUUUUCCGAGAAUUAAAAAUAAAAAAGACGAGGCAAACGCCUGGCUGUUGGCCAGGGCACGACACCUGCCAACACAAUUGGGGCCUCUGUGUGGCUGGGUGAAACAACUAGUGCUUACCUCAUUAGCCUCACCAUUUUGGUUUUCAAGGAUACUCAUCAUUUUGGUUUUCAUCCGCUUUCAAGCUACAGGUGCUUACCUGCAGUUUGUAACUUUGUAUUUUUCUCAUCAUCUAUCAAUGAAACUGUCAGAUAGCCUUUUGAUUUAAAAAAAUGUUAACUUAGAAGUACAUCGUUGCAGGCUUGCAGCAGUAACAUCGGUACACAUGGGUACAUUUUAGGCAUACCUUUAGCAGUACUCUAGAGUUCCCAGAAUGCUCAAUUUUGGAGUGCCAAGUAUGAUAAUCUUCCUAAGGUUGCAUUUCUUAUAAUAUAAUGACUAAAACCAGCCAUUAAAGGUGGCAAGUUAAAUGCUUAUCUGUUUAUCGUGUCAGCUAAAAGGUUAUUUCAGCCAAAAGAAAAGCAACACAGUUCCAAGUUAGUGCAUCACCACAUAGGAUGGCAUACUUUUAACUUUUAUAUCGGCAAAAUUGCGCUUUCCUUCCACCUAGGAAUCCUCCAUGGAUACUCAACCAGUUAAUCAAACGGGCGAUGUACCAUCACUCAGAAAAGCAUCGUCGCUCGUACUCUCAACGUAUAAUCAUCCGACAUUCAGGGGAGCUGAUGCGGUGGACGCCCCCAAAAUGUCAAUUUACAGGAAAGGGGAGGGGGGGCUGUGGGCGAGGAUAACCUUCAGUUUGGCGUCCCGGAGGGCGACGAUCCCGGUGGAGCGCCAGCGCGUGACGCGGGUGGCCGGCGAGUCCGAGCUCCGGCUGCUGCAGCAGCCCAUCUCCGCCGCCGCCGCCGCCCGUCGCCCGCGCGAGGGCGAAACUCGCAGAUGCUUUCCCCUCCGAUUGUGGAAGAGAUUUUGUUUCAGGGGGAGGGGCGGGCGACGACUUCGGCGAGGAGGCAGUUGGGGGCGGCCGGCGGGAUCUGCCUUGACCUCGUCCACUCGCUGUCAGCUGGGACCACCGCUGGGUGCCUCUCCCCGCAGGGCUGCGGGUCCCCGUGCUGCUUACCUGGCAUCUCGAUCUUGUCAAACGGUUAUCUAUGAGACUGACAGUGGCAGGCAACAGACCAAUUUUUGAUUAUUUUUUAUUAUUAUGAACAGACAAGAUUGCCUCUUUGUAAAUUUGCAAUUCUACACUUCCAGUUUUUUUUUACAGUAACUAGACUUUAUUUCCCAUAUAUGCCAUAUCGUAUAUCAAAAGAUGACAAAUAAAGUCAAGGAUCACAACAUCCCAAGAACCAGAAGAUUUCGAGCUAAAGGAUUGUCUGGCUAAUUCAUCCGGUACCUAAUUGGCUUACAAAAACUUUUAAGGGCAUCGAUGUUUUCUCCAGAGUUUGGAUCACAAGGCCUUUUUACCAGCUGACGGCGCUGCCACAAGAGGAACCAUGUUGCAACUACCGCCAGUUGUGCCAUCGGGAGCCCAUCAACAACAUCACUGAGUUUUAUUAAAAACUCCAUGGUGACUGAUCCUGAUCUGUCAUUUGCAAUUGCUCUCUGUAGAGUGUCCGAAAAUCCCAGCUGAUCACACUUCUUUUACGCGGCAACAACUGAAAAGAGUAUGCCAUCUUCGGCAUGAGCCAAACAGUGCGGGCAUCUUCAUUGACUCCAUUGCUCUUACCGUUUCAUCUGAUUUUAUUUUUUAAAUGUCUCUAGAAUGCUUUGAAAAUUGUAACCAGCUAGUUUUGAUUAAACAAAAACUCUUGGGUGUGUUUUGUGAAUUAACAAUAGGAUUACCAACUGUAAAACAAAAUCAUCUUGUAGUUUUGUAUGGUCAUCUUAAUUGUCAAAUUAUCUUUGAAUACUUGCCCAUUGUACAAGGAAAAUAUCUAAUAUGAAAAAUCAAUUAAGACGUCCAUUCAUUUGGGCACCCUUGCCUUUUGCGAUAGGGGAUGAUCGGCUCGGCUACCAUUUCUCCCUCCAUCCAUGGCAGCUAGAAAUCACGAGUGCCAUCUUCUCCGGUCCGGUUAUGAAGGUGAUGUUCUAUCGUUAGCAAUGGCGCACCACCAUUCUUGACCAAAGUGAAAUUGCACCACUCAUCCGUAUGCAGCUGAACGAGGUCCAGUAGGGUUGGAAACAUGGACAUUCAGGGUAGUCACCUAGAACAAGAUAUGAGAUAAGGCACGCGAUUUUGGGUUAGGCAACAAUCAUAUCAAAGGACUAGCGCAUUUAAUUCAUGCUUACGGGUACAGCACACUUGAGCAAACUAGCUAAUUAGAAUGUGACCUCAGAAUUGUUCAAUACUUCUCCAGGAGUCAAAAUGCAUACAAGCUUAUCUGGAAAAAAUUAACUAAAUAAUCAUUUAAAAAUUAUUAGACCCUUACCAAGCAUAUUUGCAGACAUAGCCUUUCUAGCUACACAAAAUGGUCUUAGACUAGUCACAAUGGUGAGUAACAUACACUAGUAACAUACACAUAUCCCUAGACUAUGUUACUACCUUCAUAGUGGGUAGUAACAUAAGUGUGGUGACAUGCAAAGCUUCAUUUAUUAGGUUAUAGACUCAUAUUGCAUCGGGGCAUGUGAUGUUACAGUAACUAGCUAAGUUACUAUAACUACCUCUCUCCUCAUUAACUCACUGCCACAUAAGCAAAUUUGCUGAGUUGGACUCGAUGUUACUGCUGAAGUUACUCCCACUGUGGCUAGUCUUAUGUUGCACAAGAAAAACUACUGCACCAUGAGUUUAGACCUGGGUCGAUGCAUAAAAAAACGUUUUAUAUUUAGAUACAGAGGUAGUAGCUACCAAGCUUUCUGGCCAUCCAAACCCAUUAGCAGUGGUGGAGGGACACAUAGGGCGGGGUAGGGCAGCCGCCCGACCUAACAGGUGUAGUAAAUAUUCCCUACUAUUCUGCUUCUAUGCCAUGGCCACAGGCCAGCUUGAGCUCAGGAUGGCAACUUUGCUGACUCAAAAGUCACCAGGACACAAGAUAGACGACCGAUGAGCGAAAUAUCAGGGCCUGAGCAGCUGGGCUUUACACAUUUAAGGCACAUGAGAGUUAAUCAGGCUAGGCUUUACUUACAUUCCUUUACGCUUAAACAUCAACGAAGCUUUCAUAUAGUUAAAAAUCGAUGAAAUGUCAAAAAAUGUAGUACAAGCUUGGUGAGGUAUUUUUGCAUGUGCUAAUUUCAUUUCAAUAUGUUUCUACACGGAUUUGUUGUCAUAAAUCUAACAUCAAAUACUCUUAUUAGUAUGUAUAAAACAACGAUCAUGAUUUCACCCUACCAAAAUUUCAUACCGUCCUCUGCCACUGUCCAUCAACAUGGCCAAAAUGGUUAGUUUAUCGACAAAAGUUUGGUGAUACAGCAUCAUUUUUAUUUCAAAUAAUAGUUACUCCCUCUGUAAACUAAUAUAAGAGCGUUUAGAUUACUAAAUUGGUGACCUAAACGCUCUUAUAUUAGUUUACGAAGGGAGUACAUAAUAAAAAUAAACCCAUUAAUGGUGAGGACAAUAUAGUCGAGCUUUCAAGCACCAAUCAACUACAAGAUGGUUAAUUGCUCUCCCAAAACAGACUUCUUUCGCUCAUUUGAUGGAACGAUGGUCAGGCCUGGAUCAACAUUACAGAGAUGUACUGAGUAUGUACUUGAUGUAAUAGACAUAUAUAAAGACACCCAGUUUACUGAUAUAGUAAUCACCAGUACAAAUAACAUAGCUAGUGACCUUGAAGUCCUAAAUGAAUCAAAGUUGUCAGAACAAUGGUAAGAGAGAACACCAGACACAAGGGUUCCUAAAAAAUUGGUCUGACCGAAUGUUGCUCUAAACACUGCAUGAAGUAGCCUUGGCGGUAAGGAGUCACAAGAGAAUCCGUCAAAAAAAGUUUCUCUGGCUUGUGGAUAAUUCGGUAAGUGGGAAUUUUACCAUCCAAGCUCAACAAUAUUGAAUUUACUUUUUCAUUUGUACUGCGCAUGUUUUCCAAUCUAAUUUUACUGGAAGAAGUCUUUUGAUUACACUGGUUAGUUCUGCAGACAAUUGCAAUGAUAACUUCACGGUUUUAAUUUGCACACCCAUGGAAAUUAUGAAACAGAAACUUCAGUUGGUCAAACUCUGAAGAAUUAUAUUUGUGACUUGCUCAGCACUCAUGAGCUGUAUGAUAAGAAAAAAAUGUGUACCUCAUAUGCUUACCUUUUAAUGCCGGAAUGCUAGGAUAACCGCAACGAUGAAAAGUACCAAGAGAGCAGCAUUCCCACCAGGCAAAAUAUCUUCACAUGAACCAGGUGACCUGGAGGAUGAAGAAGCAAAACAAAAAUGUUGAACAAAAUGGAAGUUUACAGUUUAGAUACUCAAAAUAUUGAUGCUAACCUACUCUUUUGAGGUUCUUAUAUAAUAAAUUAUAUCAUCCUUCACAAGAUUAAAUAUUUCUUGCACAUAAAAUGACCGCUAUCACAUAAAUUAGUAUAUUACAUGAUUCUACUCACACACGUAAUGACAAAAAGGCCAUCGUGUGCUCUGAAAGCUGGAGGCAAAAAAUCGACAGUUUGACUACAGAACGAACAAAGACAAACGAUUGCAUAACUGAAACUGAUAAAUCGUUAGUGGUUCCACAAACUAUACAGCGUCUGUUUAGAAGAAUGACAUGUUCACAUCCAGAAAAGAGGUAGAGGAAAGGGCCGGAGAAGUGUGUGAUUGCAUUAUGCAAGAACCUGAGAUGUCUUAUUGUCAGGCUAAUCUGAGUAGUACUAAAUGUCCUGUAGAAAAUUUUAAAGGGGCAGCAUGGUUUCAGACAAAAAAAGUGUAGCAGUGUUGAACUACAUUGUUUGCUGGUCAAGCUGGAGGGUCUGGGCACAGACAUUCAGACAAUUUCCCUAUUUACAGCCUUAUACUUUUACUAUCUCCAUAACUUUAUCUUCCCAAAUCACAUAUACUGAAUGCAAACUCGGAUACUAUAGCCAGAAAGUUUCUACGUUACAAUAAAUUUUGGUGGUCUUCUUGACAUUCAAAGAGCUGCAGACCUAUUUACUCUAUGUUGAGUUGAACAUAUAAAGCUAUAUCAUGAAAAGAAGUAACUGUAGCUGUGUGGAAACUCAACAGGUCCAGAGUAUUCAUACUUUGUUUGCAAGUUAUAGAACCAGCCACUUCGAACUUUAUACAUAAAUGUUGCUAGAAAACAUGCUAAACUCAUCUAAUUAAUGCAGAAGGAACACAUCAGUUAUCAGGAUUUUCCUGUGGAAACAAGGAUGGCACAAAGCAGAAGGUCUCAAAACGUGAAGUAUAAAAGGGGACUAGCACCAAUCAACAUUUUAUAUUUACUGAUAAGAAUUGGAGCCAUUUGAGUCAGUUAAACAAACACGGAACUGUUGAACAUCAGACAGUUGUGAGCACUUCAAGAAAUACUUAAUUAAGUUACUUAGUCCCCAUUCAGCAAUGCCGACGGAUAUUAGCCAAGGCAUUGAGCAUGAAUUAGCACCCCUGAUUACAUAUUUAAGUACUCUACACUUCAUUUUCCCAUUAUUUCAGCAUGUAUAUAUGACCAUUGGUGGUUGGUUUGGAUUUUAUAUUUUUUACCAAUGCUGCUAACUAUAUACAGUAGUAUGUAUAUUCUUUAAAAGAAAUAUGGCCUAGUGAACAUUACCUCUUCUUCCGUGACCGAUGAAUCCAGGCCAUUGCAGGAGGCAGGAUCCCAAACAAGAAGCAGUUUGCAUAAAUCCCGGCAAAAUCUAAUGCCUUGGCAAACGCUGUUGAGAAGAAUGAUACAAUAAAUAUGGGAAUGAUCAGCACUGCCAACGUAAGAACCACCUCGUUCCUGCCAUGACCACCACCAGCAUUGGACAACUCCACACUUCCUUGCUUCGGAGAAAAUCUGUUAACAAUCAACUGCAAAGUGUCUUCCAACUGCUUCGGGAAGCUGACUGCAUAUCCUAUCAAGCUCGUCGCCAAUGCAGCAAACGCAAAGCCUCGAACAGGAGCCAAUGCUGCUGGAUUCACCGAGAGAAGAAGCUUAAUAGGGUCAUCGAACCUUGCACUGCCGGUCGCACCUGCCAAUCCUAGAAUGACAGCAUUCCAUGACAAAACCAUGACCAAUGGUACAGCACCCCCAAUGAGAAUUGCCCUGCGUGCAUCAUACACCGAGUCACCUACAAUCUUGCAGAUGAAUGGCGUGAUCACGUGGAACCCAAGCGUGAGCACGGUGACCGGAAUGGCCGGCAAGAUGGCACCAGGGCUCCAGCACGCGUAGCCAAGCGAAUUCAGCAUGCUGCUCCGGCCGACGGAGACGCCUGUCACCACAAGCGACGUGAUCGAGACGAGCAUCAGGCCGCACAGGACGCGGUUGACGCCAUCGACAGCCUUGAACGGGAAGAACGCGAUGAGCACCCCGGCGAAGCACGGGAAGAGCGCGUUCGCCAAGACCGGAUUCACCGCGGGGAAGAGCUGGGAGACCAGCGAGCCGAUGCCGGCUACGCAGGCGACCAUCAGGGAGAAGCUCAGCGCAGCGUAGACGACGGCAACGACACCGCCAAAGGUUGCCCCCAAGGUGCUCGACGCAAGUCCUGUGAAGCUGACCUCGUCCACGCCCCCACUCUCCAUGGCCGCGAAGCUGAGCUCGGCGACGAGGACGAUGGAAGACACGACGUAGGCCCAGGAGAGCAGGAUGGCCACGGUGGAGGGGACCGUACCGGAGCGGAUGGUGGCCGACGGCAGCGCCAGCAUGCCUGGCCCGACCGCCGUGCCGAUGAUGAGGCUCACCGCCGCCCAGAAGCUCUUCUUCUCGCCGUCGCCGGACACACUGGCCUCGACGACGGGUGGCGGUUGGGCGGCAUCGGUGUUGCUGCACCGCCACCGCCAUUGCCGCCUUGGCAGUGGCCAUGGCCGUGGUGGGGGGUUCUUGGAUGCUAGGAUUGGGGCUCUGAGCGUUCUUGGCUUGAGAGGGCGGUGUCCACUGGGAGAGGGCACGGCGGUGAGCGGUGAGAAGGUGAGGUGGCGGCGGCAGCAGAGGAACAUGGCUGCUGCAAUUUGGCAGGUCAAAGGUAGGUUUUUUCCGCAAUUGCAAGGUGAAACACUGUGGCUUGGAGUUCUUCUUUGACUGCUGAAGACACUCAGAGAGUCCCUCAGAGAGGGAUUGGGUAGGCAGGUGAUUUUUAUUUUUUAUUUGGCGCUGGGACGCGUGGGUCGGAUCUGAUUGACUGAGCCGCCGAGAGUCACCAUUGCAAUUGCAACACAGGACGUGUUGCAAAAAAAUCUGUAACAUAUAUCUUUUUUACAACAAAAUUUAUUUUGCAUUUUUUUGCAACAGAGGUCUUAUUGCAAUUUUUUUGACAACAGAGAUCUCGUUGUAAUUUUUUAUUUUUAUUUCUGUAACAGAGGUCUUGUUACAACUCUUUUGCAACAAAGAUAUUGCUGCAGCAACUCACUAUAGAAUCGGGAUUAUUCUUGGAUUUUUUCACGAUUUUCAGCGAUGCGCGUUUAGUGGGAGAAGAUAUUUCUGUCGACUACGAGGCAUUUGCAAUGACUUUGUUAAUCUCAAGAUGAUAUGUCGGCUCAGUCUCUCGAAGGUGCUCAUAGGUGUAGGACUUGCGUGUGUAUUCAUAGGGAUGAAUGUAUGUGCGUAUAUAUGAGCGUCGGCGUCUGUACUGUGUUCUAAGAAAAGAAACUCACUAUAGCGGAUCAGUGACACCUGUCGCACGGAAGAGACGGCGGAUGCUUGCGUGCAAUUCGCCAGCUGAAGCCAAGCAUUUUCUUUUUUUUUUAUAAGAGCAAUUCUCUCAAAAACCUCUCCCUGUUGUACGUGCAAUGCACGUCAUGUUUGGGACUCCCUUCGAUUUAAAUAUGACGGGGCAGAUCUAAAACCUCUCCAAUGGCAAAUGGCAAGUGGGGCGCGAUUGUUGGGUUGGUGGAGAGGAGCUUCGUGCUCCCGUAGCAUGCUCCUCGCUUGCGAGGUUUGGUCCAUGGGCUUGCAGGGACUGGUGUUUUCUAGAAGUGGCAUGCUUUCUACGCGGAGGUGUGUGACUUCAACGAAAAUUGUGCAAUGCAUUCGUCGUUGCAGGGAACGACGAGUCUGUGGACGUCGUUCUCCUCCUCAGAGGCGUUGCUUUCAUGCCCAUCAUCUCUAAGUCUUCCGACAACCUCGUUUUUGCUAUGGUAGCCCUCCCUCGACGUCCACAUGUGCGGUGCCCUUGUGCGUGCAGCGAUGCCAAGGUUCACUCUAGGGCCCUCGUGAUGACGCCGGUUUUUCUCGUUGUGUUCUUGGCUUCUCUUAGACAGCGUGCUUCUUGGUUGGGAAGGCCAUCUCGGGAUCUGGGGGUUUGCUUCUUUUAGACAGCGUGCUUCUUGAUUGGGAAGGUCAUCUCGGGAUCUGGGGGUUUGCUAGGAUCGUUGCCAUGCCACAUGGGUCGCUGAGGUAUCACCCACUUGCCAGGUUCCAUCAAGUGUGAUCAGUGGUUGUCUACAAUCGUCUCCAGCGUUGGAGGUUGGAGCAUCGGCGAAAGCCUAGCUGGAUCUUUUUCUUGUCGAUAACGAUGUUUGUGGACACUGUUCUUCUCCUUGGAGACAUCGUUUUAUCUGCCUCUCCUCCUUUAAACUACUACUUCCUUGUACAACCUGGAACGUCGCUUCGUGUUCUCCUUGGGAGCGGUGCCCCGAGCUCUUCGAAAAUUUGAGCUCAUUGUCAAGAUCAAGUGGGCUCCUUUAGUUAUUUUUCUUUAGUUUAACAUUGCUUGCUUUUUGUUUACUAGGUUUCCUGCUUGGACCCUUUGUACUUAUAUUGUAAACCUAGAAUCCCCAAUGGGGUUGGUGUGGGUGUGAGCUAUCUUUGUAAGCUGUUCGGCCGUUGCUUUAUCUACAAAGAAAGCGAGGCGAAAAUCUUUUUCGGUAAAGUAAGAAGUUCAACAUAUGGACAAGAGGUGAGAGUAUCAGUGUACACAUAACCAAACAACCAAAUGUUGCAUCUAGGCAGCACAAACAUUAACCAAACGCGGUGCUUGUGUUUCUUCUCUCAUGUAACUCGUGACUUUGUGGGCAACCAAACGACUCGUGCACAACAUGGACUAGAGAUUGUAUUAUAUCACCCCAUACACACACCGAGGCACACUCCAGGGAAACACAAAAAAUAGCACGGCAAUCAAACACACCAUAUAUAAGCUUUUCUGCACUAGUAUAACUGCCGCACAUCUUAACAGAAGAUAAACAUCAUCCUCUCGGAUGCUCUUUGUUGCCAUAUUUUCCGCACAUGCGCAUAGAUACACAUAUGCGAUUAGUCCAUCGAUCGAGCAACAAGCUUAUUCACGCUCGAGCUAUUUAUAAAGUUACACGACCACUUCAGGAUAUUGGGUCGGGCAAUAAUGGUACCGCCC
Molecule: long non-coding RNA, 15556 nt
Filed under: Triticum aestivum (bread wheat)
Lineage: Eukaryota; Viridiplantae; Streptophyta; Magnoliopsida; Poales; Poaceae
Description: long non-coding RNA (TAES_LNC003547)
Source: RNAcentral